CAGUAGCCGCGGGAAUACGUAGGGUGCGAGCGUUAAUCGGAAUUACUGGGCGUAAAGCGUGCGCAGGCGGUUGUGUAAGACAGGUGUGAAAUCCCCGGGCUUGACCUGGGAACUGCGCUUGUGACUGCACAGCUAGAGUAUGGCAGAGGGGGGUGGAAUUCCACGUGUAGCAGUGAAAUGCGUAGAGAUGUGGAGGAACACCGAUGGCGAAGGCAGCCCCCUGGGCCAAUACUGACGCUCAUGCACGAAAGCGUGGGGAGCAAACAGGAUUAGAUACCCCUGUAGUCCCUGUCUCUUAUAC
Molecule: ribosomal RNA, 301 nt
Filed under: uncultured bacterium
Lineage: Bacteria
Description: partial 16S ribosomal RNA
Rfam family: Bacterial small subunit ribosomal RNA
Source: RNAcentral